Molecule: long non-coding RNA, 597 nt
Filed under: Triticum aestivum (bread wheat)
Lineage: Eukaryota; Viridiplantae; Streptophyta; Magnoliopsida; Poales; Poaceae
Description: long non-coding RNA (TAES_LNC017626)
Source: RNAcentral
GGAGCACCAAAAUGCGGUGGGCGUCAGACGAGCAGCACGGCGAAGAACCACGGUGAGUGGGCGACUGCUGAAUCUGUGGUUGGGGACGUACAUGUGCGGCUUGGUGGUCGAUCUGUGUUCCGCCAGGGAAAGCAUUGCCCCCGGCGAGAUCUGUGCUGGAGAGACGAGGCUGGAUGCACGGAGAGCGGCUGCUGCAAUCCGUACCCCUGGGAGAGGAGAGGCCAUGGCGACUUAGCUCCGGCAGGUCAGUGUCGUUGGAUCUCAUGAAGCCACAUAGUCAAGCCUGCGGUGAUGGUGGAAAUGAAAGUAAAUCUAGGAUUGGAAGAGAAAUCAUACAUAUUUGUUUACGCACUUGUUGAACCGGACUCCGACCGUGAGACGAAGGUGACGUCCUUGCCACCGCAAUGCGGACAAGGGAUGAGCGGAAGCGUCUCCCCAUGGUGGUGCGAGGAAGAAGCUGAGAGGACAUGGCCGCCGAUCUGGUUUCUUGCGAGGUUGGACGGGAUAAGGAGAGAGGAGGAGCAGGAAGGAUCCAGAGAUGGGUGUUGGUGAGACAGUAAUAAGAUGGGGAGGGUGGCCGUUAAGGUAUGAAGCCCG